Molecule: ribosomal RNA, 1780 nt
Filed under: Gossypium barbadense (sea-island cotton)
Lineage: Eukaryota; Viridiplantae; Streptophyta; Magnoliopsida; Malvales; Malvaceae
Description: bacterial SSU rRNA
Rfam family: Eukaryotic small subunit ribosomal RNA (bases 465-1774)
Source: RNAcentral
GCUCUGUUAUCUGCAUAGUUUUUAGAUUUGUGUGAUUAAAUUAUUUCAAACCUAACACGUCCCUGUUACCUCACACGAAUGCUAAGAAACCCUUAGUAAAUAAGGAUCAGUAAAAUGCAUAUUUACUAAGUAAAGGAUUCCGAAAGGACCUAAAGUGGUUUCCAAACUCAUGAAAGAUCGAGUUGCCAUGGAAUGCUUUUCCGAAUGUUAUUAAACAUGUUGAUAAUAAAUUGAGUUUAAUUAAAGUAAUUUUCCUAGUUUAUUUACGUUAUAAUUGUUGCAAAUUGUGUUUAAUUUUGCUCAAAUCUAUUUCAUUCAUAGAGUUUGCAUACGUAGGAUAAUUUGCAUUAGGGAUCAUUGCAUUUAGUUUAAUAUAUUCAAUUUUAAUCAUCACUUCUCAACCAUAUUAUGUUUUUUUUACCAAGUUGUUAGUAUAAUUUUACAAUUAAUUUAUUUAACACAAAUACAAUCCUUGUGGAGACGAUAACUUGAUACUUACUUAUUACUUGAUAACGACUGUGUACACUUGUACAAACCUACGCAUUAUAGAGGGCAACUUUGGUGCCAGCAGCUGCGGUAAUUCCAGCUCCAAUAGCAUAUAUUUAAGUUAUUACAGUUAAAAGCUCGUAAUUGGACUUAAGGUUGGGUCAGUUGGUUCGCCUUAUGGUGAGCAUCAAUUUUCUCGUCUCUACUACCGACGAUGCACUCCUAGCCUUAAUUGGUCGAGUCGUUCCUCUAGCAUUGUCACUUUGAAGAAAUUAGAGUACUCAAUGCAAGCCUACGGUUGUAUCCAUUAGCAUGGGAUAACAUCAUAGGAUUUUGAUCCUAUUGUGUCAGCCUUUGGAAUUGGAGUAAUGAUUAACAGAGACAGUUGGGGGCAUUUGUAUUUCAUAGUCAGAAGUGAAAUUCUUGGUUUUAUGAAAGACGAACAACUACAAAAGCAUUUGCCAAUGAUGUUUUCGUUAAUCAAGAAUGAAUGUUGGGGCCUCGAAGGUGAUCUAAUACCGUCAACCAUAAACGAUGUCAACCAAGGAUCAGCGGAUGUUGCUUUUAGGACUCCACUAGCACCUCAUAAGAAAUCAAAGUCUUUGGGCUCUAGGGGAGCAUGGUCGCAAAACUUAAAAGAAUUGACAAAAGGGCACCACUAGGAGUAGAGCCUACAGCUUAAUUUGACUCAACAGGAGGAAACUUAACAGGUCCAGACAUAGUAAGAAUUGACAAAUUGAGAGCUCUUUCUUGAUUCUAUGGGUGGUGGUGCAUGGCCGUUCUUAGUUGGUGGAGCGAUUUUUCUAGUUAAUUCUAUUAAAGAACAAGACCUCAGCCUGCUAACUAGCUACACUGAAGUGAUUCUCCACAGCUAGCUUUUUAAAGGGACUAUGGCCUUUUAGGCCAAGGAAGUUUGAGGCAAUAGUAGGUCUGUUAUGCCCUUAUAUGUUCUGGGCCACAUGCGUGCUACACUGAUGUAUUCAAUGAGUCUAUACCUUUGGCCACAGGCCAGAGAAAUCUUUGAAAUUUCAUCGUGAUAGGGAUAGAUCAUUGCAAUUAUUGGUCUUCAACGAGGAAUUCCUAGUAAGUGCGAGUCAUCAGCUAGCGAUGACUAUGUCCUUACCCUUUGUACACAUCGCCUGUUACUCUUACCAAUUGAACGGUCCAAUGAAGCUUUUGGAUCAUGGUGACGUAGACGAUUCGCUGCCCGCGACGUCACAAGAAGUUCACUAAAUCUUAUCAUUUAGUGGAAGGAUAAGUCAUAACAAGGUUUCCCAACAAGCCAAGCCUAAAA